This 753-nucleotide long non-coding RNA is filed under the name Homo sapiens (human). Its description in RNAcentral is "HSALNT0273277". The record is from RNAcentral. Lineage: Eukaryota; Metazoa; Chordata; Mammalia; Primates; Hominidae.
GCUAUGAGCAUUCAUUUGCAAGCUUUUGUUUGAACCUCAGUUUUCAAUUCUUUGGGGUGCAUACUUAGGAGGGGCAUUGCUGGGACAUACGGAAACGCUAUGUUUAACUUACUGAGGAGCCACCAAAUUGUUUUCCCAGCAGUUGCACCAUUUUACAUAUCCACCAAAAGCAAUGCGUGAGCCAUUGUGCCCCACCUCAGUUCAUCUAUUUCUCUGUGAUAUUUAUUCUAUAGUUGCAGAAGAAUAUUUCUCAUAUGAUACGUAUAUUAAGCUUACUGGCCAGCCAGUUUGGGUUUCUGGAUAGUGAAACUGUCCUGGAAGUGUUUGCUGAGCUUUUCUUGCUGGAGAAGAUUCUUGGCAAAGCCUGGAUGGAGGAUGGAGAUGAGAAAGGUAGUGUGAGGGUGGCACACCUGUUUUGUGCUAAUUCCAGUCUUGGCAGCCCUGGACCUGCCGGGAGAGGGAUGACAGUGACAUGUGGCCCAGUUUUUGCUCAGAGAAGGAAAAGUCACCAAGACCGACCAUGAGGGCAGGAGCUCUUGCUUCUCCUCCUAGAUGAGAGUUAGAAGGAAUUUGAGAGCAAGGCUUCUUUCUUGGGAUCCAAAUACUUCUUACCUUGGAGUUUUCCUAGCCGUGGCUAGUGGGUCAUAAUGUCAGCGACAUUGCCAAAUGGGAGCGGAAGAGUGUCGUUGGGGGAAGGGUGAAGACGCUGUCAGAGAAUAAGACAUACCCCACUAGAACUUUAAAAAACAAGUC